UUUGGUGUUUUUAUCUAUGAAUCAGGAUUGACUUUUGAAGUUACUAGUUGUCUCUCGCUUUUGUUUAUUUUAUUGUUUGAGUGGGUGUGGUGAGGCUAGGACUCUUAGGGGUCGUUUGGUUGGGAAAUAAGUUAUCCCGUGAUUAAUUAUCAGGGAUUAGUCGUCCUGGGAUUAGUUAUCCCACGCUCCCAUAGGGAUAAAAAAACAUUGCAAUCCCGGGAUAACUGAUCCGGGGAUUAGUUAUACCACAAUUUUAUUCCAACCAAAC
This 268-nucleotide long non-coding RNA is filed under the name Nicotiana benthamiana. RNAcentral's name for it is "long non-coding RNA (NBEN_LNC038236)". The record is from RNAcentral. Lineage: Eukaryota; Viridiplantae; Streptophyta; Magnoliopsida; Solanales; Solanaceae.